RNAcentral lists this small RNA (115 nucleotides) under Gorilla gorilla gorilla (western lowland gorilla). RNAcentral describes it as "Y RNA (ENSGGOG00000031860.2)". Lineage: Eukaryota; Metazoa; Chordata; Mammalia; Primates; Hominidae. The record is from RNAcentral.
GGCUGGCCUGAGGGUAGUGGAUUAUCAGAACUUAUUAACAUCAGUGUUACUGAAGUUGGUGGUGUACAACCCCCCCCGCCCCGCCGACCCCACUGGUAAAUUUGACUGGCUUUUU